This 497-nucleotide ribosomal RNA is filed under the name uncultured bacterium. RNAcentral's name for it is "partial 16S ribosomal RNA". It matches the Rfam family "Bacterial small subunit ribosomal RNA", at positions 28 to 507 of the family's 1533-position model. The record is from RNAcentral.
GAUGAACGCUGGCGGCGUGCCUAAUACAUGCAAGUCGAGCGAACGGACGAGAAGCUUGCUUCUCUGAUGUUAGCGGCGGACGGGUGAGUAACACGUGGAUAACCUACCUCUAAGACUGGGAUAACUUCGGGAAACCGGAGCUAAUACCGGAUAAUAUUUUGAACCGCAUGGUUCAAAAGUGAAAGACGGUCUUGCUGUCACUUAUAGAUGGAUCCGCGCUGCAUUAGCUAGUUGGUAAGGUAACGGCUUACCAAGGCAACGAUGCAUAGCCGACCUGAGAGGGUGAUCGGCCACACUGGAACUGAGACACGGUCCAGACUCCUACGGGAGGCAGCAGUAGGGAAUCUUCCGCAAUGGGCGAAAGCCUGACGGAGCAACGCCGCGUGAGUGAUGAAGGUCUUCGGAUCGUAAAACUCUGUUAUUAGGGAAGAACAUAUGUGUAAGUAACUGUGCACAUCUUGACGGUACCUAAUCAGAAAGCCACGGCUAACUACGUG